AGUCGUUCGCUAUUUAUAGAGUGGCGCACGGGUGAGUAACGCGUGGGAACCUGCCUUUUUCUGCGGGAUAACGGUUGGAAACGACCGCUAAUACCGCAUACGCCCUACGGGGGAAAGGUCCGCCGGAAAAAGAGGGGCCCGCGUCUGAUUAGCUUGUUGGUAGGGUAAUGGCCUACCAAGGCGACGAUCAGUAGCUGGUCUGAGAGGAUGAUCAGCCACACUGGGACUGAGACACGGCCCAGACUCCUACGGGAGGCAGCAGUGGGGAAUAUUGGACAAUGGGGGCAACCCUGAUCCAGCAAUGCCGCGUGUGUGAUGAAGGCCUUAGGGUUGUAAAGCACUUUCACUGGUGAAGAUGAUGACGGUAACCAGAGAAGAAGCCCCGGCUAACUUCGUGCCAGCCGCCGGGGG
RNAcentral lists this ribosomal RNA (411 nucleotides) under SAR116 cluster bacterium enrichment culture clone PSHTC-042. RNAcentral describes it as "bacterial SSU rRNA". It matches the Rfam family "Bacterial small subunit ribosomal RNA", at positions 60 to 521 of the family's 1533-position model. The record is from RNAcentral. Lineage: Bacteria; Pseudomonadati; Pseudomonadota; Alphaproteobacteria; Puniceispirillales (SeqCode).